This 253-nucleotide ribosomal RNA is filed under the name uncultured bacterium. RNAcentral's name for it is "partial 16S ribosomal RNA". It matches the Rfam family "Bacterial small subunit ribosomal RNA", at positions 524 to 776 of the family's 1533-position model. The record is from RNAcentral.
UACGUACGAGGCGAGCGUUAUCCGGAAUUACUGGGCGUAAAGCGCGCGCAGGUGGCUCACUAAGUCAGACGUGAAAUCUCCCGGCCUAACUGGGAGGGGUCGUUUGAGACUGAUGGGCUUGAGGACUGCAGAGGUGGGUGGAAUUCCUGGUGUAGUGGUGAAAUGCGUAGAGAUCAGGAGGAACACCGGUGGCGAAGGCGGCCCACUGGGCAGUCACUGACGCUGAGGCGCGAAAGCUCGGGGAGCGAACGGG